Molecule: transfer RNA, 57 nt
Filed under: Caenorhabditis virilis
Lineage: Eukaryota; Metazoa; Nematoda; Chromadorea; Rhabditida; Rhabditidae
Description: tRNA-Glu
Source: RNAcentral
GAGAUAAUAGUAUAAAUAAGUAUCUUUCUUUUUCGAGGAAAAGGUUUAUUUAUCUUA